UGCAGCUCAGUGGUAGAGCAUUUGCCUAACAUGCAAAAUGCCCUGGGUUCAAGUACAAGCAAGCAA
Molecule: transfer RNA, 66 nt
Filed under: Marmota monax (woodchuck)
Lineage: Eukaryota; Metazoa; Chordata; Mammalia; Rodentia; Sciuridae
Description: tRNA.Val
Rfam family: tRNA
About the family: Transfer RNA (tRNA) molecules are approximately 80 nucleotides in length. Their secondary structure includes four short double-helical elements and three loops (D, anti-codon, and T loops).
Source: RNAcentral